This is a long non-coding RNA of Apis florea (little honeybee), 516 nucleotides long. The record is from RefSeq and is a predicted model, not a curated record. Lineage: Eukaryota; Metazoa; Arthropoda; Insecta; Hymenoptera; Apidae.
AAUUGGCAAUCGUGGUUAUAAGAAUUAAUUGUGAUACAUUCCUAUCAAGUGGAUUCUAUAACCUUAAUUUAUGCAAUACUUUUUACUUUUAAAUAUUCUAUAUUGUAAUUUAAAUACAUAAAUAUGAACGAAUGAACGAUUUAUACCUUUGAUGAUAGAAAAGGAGCUCUCGAAUAGUAGUCGAAAAAUGUCCUCUUAAGCUUGGCUUUGCUCGCCGAUUACGUAUCAGUGGGGUGUCUCUAUCGAUUUCGAUCAGUUAUGAAUAUUAUUGGAUUCAUCGAUAAUACUUCGUGUUGCUUCUGGAUCACGAGACGACUGUCCCUCUUAGUCGAUUAUGGAUCGCAACUGAAUGAUGGAACGCUUUGGUUUGAUGAACGAGGUUAGAUUCAGCUAUACGAAUGAAAGAAAGUAAAUAUUGUGAUGGAAAAUUGAUUUAAGAAUAUUUUAUGCUGCACAAAACUUGUUUAUUUAAGCAAAUGAAAAAGGGAAAAAAUGUUACUUAAAUCCACAGAUUUA